AAACACAAGUGCGACACGUCAUAGCACCGUAUUUUAAAUGACCGUCGUGACGCAUACUCGCGUCCAAUGUGGCUGAUACAAGACGGUACAUUAGGUGGGACUCAAUAUGAAGAGUAUUGCGAGAGAGGAGGUGCCAGGACCUCCAAAUAGUAGGUUGUACCUUGAGAAGUUAAACUACAAAAACAUGAAAAAAAAAGUUCAAUUGACUUGAGGCAACACAACUGUCGUUAAAACUAUGUAGUUUAAGUCUCAUUCACCUAAUCAUUUCUGGACAUUGCUUUGUGGACGUCUUUGAUGUUUGUUGCGUAUCAAUAAUGCCUUUGAUGUCUAAUCUCAUCUUUCCAGCUCUGCAACCAGGCUGUUGUAAAUACAAAGACAUGACAGGGGUCAAGACAGCGUCAUUUGUUUUGUAGAAAUCUUUAUUUACUAGGGAACGUCAACGUAAGAAUCGGGAGCCAUCAGACCAGUUGCUUCGCCCAUUGUCUUCUGACCAGGUUUGGUGAACCUAUUGGAACCAUGGUUAGUCCAGGAAGGUCCGAGCCACGUUUCUGCCGAGCUUCAUGUCUGAGGAAGUGGAGUUAAAGACGUCUUUGUGGAGACUAAAAUGUCCAUGAACGAGUACUUGAGGUAGAAUCAAAAGCUCAUUCAGAUGGCCUCACCACUGUGAAGACUCAGGAACUCUCCCAACCAGUCAGGGACAUAGGCAGAGUAUCCACAAUAAACUGUACACUCAGUGAGCUGGCAAUCAUGGAUGAUGAUGUGUUCAUGGAUGAUGGAUCAUGACCUCACGAUUCACAAGCACAAACCAUCAAACUUGGUGAAGAUGAUGCAGUUUUCCUUUGAAGCAUACAGCUGUGCCUGCUGCAAAAUAGUGGCUCUACAGAGAAUUGACGCUAGGGGGCGUCAGUUCUCGGCUCUGAGUCUCUGCUACCACAUCAGACAGAAGCCGUCUGAGAAGCCUGCAGGACCAACUAAAGAGUGAGCUGCUUGCUUGAAAGUAACAUUUUCUGGCUGAAUUUCAAACAGAUUUUAACACUGUGUGCUCUCUGUGUCCUGUGACUGUGUUAUUCACAGUAUACUUGCAUUCAUUAAAAAAAAAUGAGUGUGUACAUAAGACAAGAGCAUAUUUGAGUUUCUAUCCCCUUUAUGAGUGUAGACUGACCUCUGUAAAGUUUUGGGUGUUUUCCUCUCUUCACUUUCAUCAGCAGAGCUCAGAGCCAGCGCUGAGUUGUUUGGCCAAGCACGCUCUGUGACAAAAAUAUCUCCCAGACCCCACCGUGAGCAGAUGGCCUCUCAGCUUGGAUUGUCACGACUCACCGUCUAGUACAGGAGGUUUUGUGAUGGACGGUCAGUUUCUGAAGGAGAACUUCAUCCGUUGGGUGAAUGCAGAGACGCACAGGUUGCCCUGACCGCUGUCUGGCAGGUUGCCGGGGGCAACCGUAGACGUUGGA
Long non-coding RNA from Synchiropus splendidus (mandarinfish), 1451 nucleotides. RefSeq lists it as uncharacterized. Lineage: Eukaryota; Metazoa; Chordata; Actinopteri; Syngnathiformes; Callionymidae. The record is from RefSeq and is a predicted model, not a curated record. The transcript has 4 exons.